This is a long non-coding RNA of Myotis lucifugus (little brown bat), 422 nucleotides long. RefSeq lists it as uncharacterized. NCBI's taxonomy places the organism in Eukaryota, Metazoa, Chordata, Mammalia, Chiroptera, Vespertilionidae. The record is from RefSeq and is a predicted model, not a curated record. The transcript is spliced from 2 exons.
CUCUCCCCAUUAAUCUUCAGAAGAUAAGAUACUGUCUUAUUAAAACAUGUUCAUCAAAGAAAAUGUAGAAUACAUAAAAAGUAUGAAGCAGCGAACAAAAAUCACUUGAAAUCCUAUUAUGUAGUGGUGAGUAUGUAACAGCUAACAAUUAUCAUAUAUUUACAAAUCAAGUAUUGUUCCAAGUGCUUUGUUUGGAUUGACUCAUUUAUUCUUAGUAACUGCAAAAGGCAACUUCCUAGUGCAAGAAACUGAGGCUUAACUUGGCCAACAUUCUCAACCACUAAUGUGAAUAUAUGUUUUUCAAAAUGGAAUUAUAGAAUUAUAUUUUAUAUACUAGUCUGUAAUAUACUUUGUCCACUUCAAACAUUUAAAUAUAUUUCUUUCAUGAUUGCUAUUAAAAAUUCCAUAGUUGUAUAAUGCUU